Molecule: ribosomal RNA, 301 nt
Filed under: uncultured bacterium
Lineage: Bacteria
Description: partial 16S ribosomal RNA
Rfam family: Bacterial small subunit ribosomal RNA
Source: RNAcentral
CAGUAGCCGCGGUAAUACGUAGGGUGCGAGCGUUAAUCGGAAUUACUGGGCGUAAAGCGUGCGCAGGCGGUUAUAUAAGACAGAUGUGAAAUCCCCGGGCUCAACCUGGGACCUGCAUUUGUGACUGUAUAGCUAGAGUACGGUAGAGGGGGAUGGAAUUCCGCGUGUAGCAGUGAAAUGCGUAGAUAUGCGGAGGAACACCGAUGGCGAAGGCAAUCCCCUGGACCUGCACUGACGCUCAUGCACGAAAGCGUGGGGAGCAAGCAGGAUUAGAUACCCCAGUAGUCCCUGUCUCUUAUAC